AUUCCCGGGAUUCCACACAGGAAGAUCACACCAUCCCUCAGCAUGAGGAACAGAUGUAUGUGAAAGUUGAGGUUAAAGAGGAAGAAGAGGAGGUGUGUGUGAUGGAUUAUAAACAGUCUACAGAAGAGUUUGGGAUGACGGCAAACAUUAAAUGGGAGGAAUCCCUAAAUAUAAUCACAGAUGGAUCCAGUAAUGGGAACCCACCAGAGAGAUGUCCCC
Rana temporaria (common frog) is the source of this 219-nucleotide long non-coding RNA. RefSeq lists it as uncharacterized. The transcript is spliced from 3 exons. Lineage: Eukaryota; Metazoa; Chordata; Amphibia; Anura; Ranidae. The record is from RefSeq and is a predicted model, not a curated record.